RNAcentral lists this microRNA (22 nucleotides) under Tribolium castaneum (red flour beetle). RNAcentral describes it as "tca-miR-100-3p". Its record names the gene tca-miR-100-3p. Lineage: Eukaryota; Metazoa; Arthropoda; Insecta; Coleoptera; Tenebrionidae. The record is from miRBase by way of RNAcentral.
CAAGUUCUUGUUUAUGGGUACC